RNAcentral lists this ribosomal RNA (468 nucleotides) under uncultured bacterium. RNAcentral's name for it is "partial 16S ribosomal RNA". It matches the Rfam family "Bacterial small subunit ribosomal RNA", at positions 28 to 507 of the family's 1533-position model. The record is from RNAcentral.
GACGAACGCUGGCGGCGUGCUUAACACAUGCAAGUCGAACGGAAAGGCCCUGCUUUUGUGGGGUGCUCGAGUGGCGAACGGGUGAGUAACACGUGAGUGACCUGCCCUUGACUUUGGGAUAACUUCAGGAAACUGGGGCGAAUACCGGAUAGGAGCUCCUGCUGCAUGGUGUGGGUUGGCAAGUUUCGGCGGUUGGGGAUGGACUCGCGGCUUAUCAGCUUGUUGGUGGGGUAGUGUCUUACCAAGGCUUUGACGGGUAGCCGGCCUGAGAGGGUGACCGGCCACAUUGGGACUGAGAUACGGCACAGACUCCUACGGGAGGCAGCAGAGGGGAAUAUUGUACUAUGGGCGGAAGCCUAAUGCAGCAACGCCGCGUGCGGGAUGACGGCCUUCGGUUUGUAAACCGCUUUCGCCUGUGACGAAGCGUGAGUGACGGUAAUGGGUAAAGAAGCACCGGCUAACUACGUG